UAAUACGGAGGGUGCAAGCGUUAUCCGGAUUUAUUGGGUUUAAAGGGUCCGUAGGCGGAUCCGUAAGUCAGUGGUGAAAUCUCAUAGCUUAACUAUGAAACUGCCAUUGAUACUGCGGGUCUUGAGUGAGAUUGAGGUAGCUGGAAUAAGUAGUGUAGCGGUGAAAUGCAUAGAUAUUACUUAGAACACCAAUUGCGAAGGCAGGUUACCAAGUCUUAACUGACGCUGAGGGACGAAAGCGUGGGGAGCGAACAGGAUUAGAUACCCUGGUAGUCCACGCCGUAAACGAUGCUAACUCGUUUUUGGGGCCUUGCGCUUCAGAGACUAAGCGAAAGUGAUAAGUUAGCCACCUGGGGAGUACGUUCGCAAGAAUG
This 374-nucleotide ribosomal RNA is filed under the name uncultured bacterium. RNAcentral's name for it is "bacterial SSU rRNA". It matches the Rfam family "Bacterial small subunit ribosomal RNA", at positions 521 to 896 of the family's 1533-position model. The record is from RNAcentral.